UACGGAAGGCAGCAGGGGGGAAUAUUGCACAAUGGGCGCAAGCCUGAUGCAGCCAUGCCGCGUGUAUGAAAAAGGCCUUCGGGUUGUAAAGUACUUUCAGUCGUGAGGAAGGUGUUAAGGUUAAUAACCUUAGCAAUUGACGUUAGCGACAGAAGAAGCACCGGCUAACUCCGUGCCAGCAGCCGCGGUAAUACGGAGGGUGCGAGCGUUAAUCGGAAUUACUGGGCGUAAAGGGCACGCAGGCGGUUAAUUAAGUUGGAUGUGAAAUCCCCGGGCUUAACCUGGGAAUGGCAUUCAAGACUGGUUUAGCUAGAGUCUUGUAGAGGGGGUAGAAUUCCAUGUGUAGCGGUGAAAUGCGUAGAGAUGUGGAGGAUACCGGUGGCGAAGGGCGGCCCCUGGACAAAGACUGACGCUCAUGUGCGAAAGCGUGGGGAGCAAACAGGGAUUAGAUACC
This 454-nucleotide ribosomal RNA is filed under the name uncultured bacterium. RNAcentral's name for it is "bacterial SSU rRNA". It matches the Rfam family "Bacterial small subunit ribosomal RNA", at positions 340 to 786 of the family's 1533-position model. The record is from RNAcentral.